RNAcentral lists this unclassified non-coding RNA (403 nucleotides) under soil metagenome. RNAcentral's name for it is "partial contains 5.8S ribosomal RNA, internal transcribed spacer 2, and large subunit ribosomal RNA". The stretch from base 1 to 121 matches the Rfam family "5.8S ribosomal RNA", at positions 35 to 154 of the family's 154-position model. The record is from RNAcentral.
GAUGAAGAACGUAGCGAAAUGCGAUCAGUAAUGUGAAUUGCAGAAUUCAGUGAAUCAUCGAAUCUUUGAACGCACCUUGCGCCCUUUGGCUAUUCCGAAGGGCAUGCCUGUUUGAGUAUCAUGAACACCUCAACUCUUUAUGGUUUUCCAUGAAGGGCUUGGACUUUGGGGGUCUUGCUGGCCUUUAGUCAGCUCCUCUCAAACGAAUCAGCUUUCCAGUGUUUGGCAGCGUCACAGGUGUGAUAACUAUCUACGCUUGUGGUUUUCUGCCAGGUAAUCCUCAGUGAUGGGGAUUCGCUGGGGCUUAUAAAUGUCUCUCCUCAGCGAAGACAGCUUUGUGAACGUUUGAUCUCAAAUCAGGUAGGACUACCCGCUGAACUUAAGCAUAUCAAUAAGCGGAGGA